RNAcentral lists this ribosomal RNA (346 nucleotides) under uncultured eukaryote. Its description in RNAcentral is "SSU rRNA". It matches the Rfam family "Eukaryotic small subunit ribosomal RNA", at positions 594 to 945 of the family's 1831-position model. The record is from RNAcentral.
AUAGCGUAUAUUAAAGUUGUUGUGGUUAAAAAGCUCGUAGUUGAACCUUGGGCCUGGCUGGCCGGUCCGCCUCACCGCGUGUACUGGUCCGGCCGGGCCUUUCCCUCUGUGGAACCCCAUGCCCUUCACUGGGUGUGGCGGGGAAACAGGACUUUUACUUUUAAAAAAUUAGAGUGCUCCAGGCAGGCCUAUGCUCGAAUACAUUAGCAUGGAAUAAUAGAAUAGGACGUGUGGUUCUAUUUUGUUGGUUUCUAGGGCCGCCGUAAUGAUUAAUAGGGACAGUCGGGGGCAUCAGUAUUCAAUUGUCAGAGGUGAAAUUCUUGGAUUUAUUGAAGACUAACUACUG